CUUCCAGGCAGAUAAGGUCAUGGGGAGGAGGACUGCACACACCCCCUGCACCAGUGUUUCUCUACACCUCCCCCACCCCCAAGUGACUCUCAUUCCAGGGCUUAACCUCUAAGGAGCGCAAGACCCAAGCCGAUGACAGGGUGAAGUUGACUGAGCACCUCAUCCCUCUGCUGCCCCAGCUCCUGGCCAAGGUACCACUGCCCCUCCACUCAGCAUCACACCAAGAGAAGUGAAAGGAAAUGGCCUCUAUGGGGGUGGGAGUAGGAAUUAGCAAUGUGUCAGCUUGUAAGGAGGCCUCCCUGUCAAUCAUCACAGUUCUCAGCUGAUGCAGAGAAGGUCACUCCCCUGCUCCAGCUUCUCAGCUGCUUUGACCUCCACAUCUACUGCACUGGGCGCUUGGAGAAGCACCUGGAGCUGUUCCUGCAGCAACUCCAGGAGGUGGUGGUGAAGCAUGCAGAGCCGGCAGUGCUUGAGGCUGGGGCGCAUGCCCUCUACCUGCUCUGUAAUCCCGAAUUCACUUUCUUCAGCCGGGCAGACUUUGCCCGCAGCCAGCUAGUAGAUUUGCUGACUGACCGCUUCCAGC
Molecule: small RNA, 583 nt
Filed under: Pongo abelii (Sumatran orangutan)
Lineage: Eukaryota; Metazoa; Chordata; Mammalia; Primates; Hominidae
Description: retained intron
Source: RNAcentral